AUCUCAUGUGUAUCUUCAAAUCUCCUCUGUAAUUAAAUCCUUUCCCACAUUCAGAGCAGCUAAAUCUUUUCCCACAAACAAUCAAAUCACUGACAGGGACUUGAUCAUUUUUCAGACAGUUUAAACCUGACUGAGGCUCUCUGGUCUCCGUCCAAUCAUCACUGUCAUCAGUCUCAGGUUGUAAAUGUGUAUCUGGAUCUGAGUUCCUGGCUGGUUCUGCUCCUCCACAGUCCUCUCCCUCUGCUUCUGUUUCCAUCUGUUCAGUGUGUCUUUGAUGAAGCUGUGAGGACUGAGGUUUCUCUUCAUCAUCUUCACUCUUCACAGGGACAGGAGUGAAUGUGAACUUGGUGAUAUCAUCCUCCUCCAGCCCUUGAAGCUGCUCUCCCUCCUGACUGAUCCAGAGUUCCUCCUGUUCCUCUUUAAUGUGUGGAGGCUCUGGGUCCUCCUGGUCCACACUGGAGCUCGAC
Long non-coding RNA from Epinephelus fuscoguttatus (brown-marbled grouper), 467 nucleotides. RefSeq lists it as uncharacterized. NCBI's taxonomy places the organism in Eukaryota, Metazoa, Chordata, Actinopteri, Perciformes, Serranidae. The transcript is spliced from 3 exons. The record is from RefSeq and is a predicted model, not a curated record.